AACACCUUUGAUUUACAAAAAAACCCAUGACUGUGGACAAAGAUAUAAAAGACAGGUGUAAAAUAAAUCCUCUUCUUCAGUGCAGAACUCAUUGUUCAGUAUGUGUUCUCAUACAUAUAAGAAAGAAUAUG
Nannospalax galili (Upper Galilee mountains blind mole rat) is the source of this 131-nucleotide small nucleolar RNA. The record is from Ensembl. NCBI's taxonomy places the organism in Eukaryota, Metazoa, Chordata, Mammalia, Rodentia, Spalacidae.